Molecule: ribosomal RNA, 829 nt
Filed under: Microbacterium sp. RKEM 1559
Lineage: Bacteria; Bacillati; Actinomycetota; Actinomycetes; Micrococcales; Microbacteriaceae
Description: bacterial SSU rRNA
Rfam family: Bacterial small subunit ribosomal RNA
Source: RNAcentral
GCUCAGGAUGAACGCUGGCGGCGUGCUUAACACAUGCAAGUCGAACGGUGAAGCCCAGCUUGCUGGGUGGAUCAGUGGCGAACGGGUGAGUAACACGUGAGCAACCUGCCCCUGACUCUGGGAUAAGCGCUGGAAACGGCGUCUAAUACUGGAUACGAACCGCGACCGCAUGGUCAGUGGUUGGAAAGAUUUUUUGGUUGGGGAUGGGCUCGCGGCCUAUCAGCUUGUUGGUGAGGUAAUGGCUCACCAAGGCGUCGACGGGUAGCCGGCCUGAGAGGGUGACCGGCCACACUGGGACUGAGACACGGCCCAGACUCCUACGGGAGGCAGCAGUGGGGAAUAUUGCACAAUGGGCGGAAGCCUGAUGCAGCAACGCCGCGUGAGGGAUGACGGCCUUCGGGUUGUAAACCUCUUUUAGCAGGGAAGAAGCGAAAGUGACGGUACCUGCAGAAAAAGCGCCGGCUAACUACGUGCCAGCAGCCGCGGUAAUACGUAGGGCGCAAGCGUUAUCCGGAAUUAUUGGGCGUAAAGAGCUCGUAGGCGGUUUGUCGCGUCUGCUGUGAAAUCCCGAGGCUCAACCUCGGGCCUGCAGUGGGUACGGGCAGACUAGAGUGCGGUAGGGGAGAUUGGAAUUCCUGGUGUAGCGGUGGAAUGCGCAGAUAUCAGGAGGAACACCGAUGGCGAAGGCAGAUCUCUGGGCCGUAACUGACGCUGAGGAGCGAAAGGGUGGGGAGCAAACAGGCUUAGAUACCCUGGUAGUCCACCCCGUAAACGUUGGGAACUAGUUGUGGGGUCCAUUCCACGGAUUCCGUGACGCAGCUAACGCAUU